GGGUCGCUAGCUCAGCUGGUUAGAGCGCUAUCCUGAUAAGAUAGAGGUCUGAGGUUCGAGUCCUCAGCGACCCA
This 74-nucleotide transfer RNA is filed under the name Patescibacteria group bacterium. RNAcentral describes it as "tRNA-Ile". It matches the Rfam family "tRNA". From Rfam's summary of the family: Transfer RNA (tRNA) molecules are approximately 80 nucleotides in length. Their secondary structure includes four short double-helical elements and three loops (D, anti-codon, and T loops). The record is from RNAcentral.